AUGUUGAAAAAUUAGCGGAUGACCUGUGGCUGGGGGUGAAAGGCCAAUCAAACCGGGAGAUAGCUGGUUCUCCCCGAAAGCUAUUUAGGUAGCGCCUCGUGAAUUCAUCUCCGGGGGUAGAGCACUGUUUCGGCUAGGGGGCCAUCCCGGCUUACCAACCCGAUGCAAACUGCGAAUACCGGAGAAUGUUAUCACGGGAGACACACGGCGGGUGCUAACGUCCGUCGUGAAGAGGGAAACAACCCAGACCGCCAGCUAAGGUCCCAAAGUCAUGGUUAAGUGGGAAACGAUGUGGGAAGGCCCAGACAGCCAGGAUGUUGGCUUAGAAGCAGCCAUCAUUUAAAGAAAGCGUAAUAGCUCACUGGUCGAGUCGGCCUGCGCGGAAGAUGUAACGGGGCUAAACCAUGCACCGAAGCUGCGGCAGCGAACGUAUCACUUAAAGCGAUUCAGCGGGUUACGAUUGACGGAGCGAAGCGACGUCAAAGCGUAUACAAAGUCGAGUCGGUUUAAGGAUACGUUCGUUGGGUAGGGGAGCGUUCUGUAAGCCUGUGAAGGUGUGUCGUGAGGCAUGCUGGAGGUAUCAGAAGUGCGAAUGCUGACAUAAGUAACGAUAAAGCGGGUGAAAAGCCCGCUCGCCGGAAGACCAAGGGUUCCUGUCCAACGUUAAUCGGGGCAGGGUGAGUCGACCCCUAAGGCGAGGCCGAAAGGCGUAGUCGAUGGGAAACGGGUUAAUAUUCCCGUACUUGGUGUUACUGCGAAGGGGGGACGGAGAAGGCUAUGUUGGCCGGGCGACGGUUGUCCCGGUUUAAGCGUGUAGGCUGGUUUUCCAGGCAAAUCCGGAAAAUCAAGGCUGAGGCGUGAUGACGAGGCACUACGGUGCUGAA
This 884-nucleotide ribosomal RNA is filed under the name Salmonella enterica. Its description in RNAcentral is "partial 23S ribosomal RNA". It matches the Rfam family "Bacterial large subunit ribosomal RNA", at positions 786 to 1589 of the family's 2925-position model. Lineage: Bacteria; Pseudomonadati; Pseudomonadota; Gammaproteobacteria; Enterobacterales; Enterobacteriaceae. The record is from RNAcentral.